Molecule: long non-coding RNA, 2437 nt
Filed under: Homo sapiens (human)
Lineage: Eukaryota; Metazoa; Chordata; Mammalia; Primates; Hominidae
Description: HSALNT0320365
Source: RNAcentral
CAGCUGAUUUCCAGAGGCCCUUCCAGCUCCUGUGUUGAUUCUUCUGCCUCGACUCACUUCUAGCAGACAAGUACCAUCCAGCUGACCCUGUAUAGGAAUCCAGAGGAAUUCUCACACACAAGGCAAGACGUAUGAGGAUGUUGCUGCAGCAUCGUUACUAGUGUUGGAAAUAAGAUGUUCCCCCUUUCUCCUUCUGAUAUGAGAAGAUACUUGUUAGCCCUCAAGCUGCUCAGAUGAGGGACUUUCCUGCCGAGAACCAACGUGAAGAGUGCAGCUUCUAUAAAGGAUUUCACUGGAUUUUUGUACUAAUGAACAAAUUUUAUUUGGAUGAGUAGAUAUUUAAUGUGCUGUUAUUACCACUGGAGUUAAAAGUAUAUUAUAAAUUCUUAUGUCUUUAAAACUAGAGAGAGGAUUCUGGGAAGAUGGCAGAGUAGAAAGCACCAGGAAUCCGACUUCCCACCUAAACAACUGUUCUAGCAGCAUCUGUCUGACACAACUAUUUUAAAACUUUGGGGUCUAUUGAAAGCUAGCAACUUCUAGGGGAAAAGUUGUACAGUAAGCUGCAGUUAAUUUCAGUGAAUUUCAGCACAGUAAUAGCCAAUAGUAGCCAAACCCUACUCCUCAGCCCUGUGUCAGGCAGCUGUGUAUGUGUUCCUGGACCAGUUUGCACACAACUUGCUGGAAUCAAGGUUGAAAAAAAAAAACUGUCCUCCAAAUAUUAGGGCUCUGAUUGCUGAUUGUUGCUUUACAAAGGUGCAGAAGAAGAAAUGACAGCCAUUGUUUUGUUGUUGCACCUUCCCCCCCAUUGUGGCAAACUCCACCUCCUCUGGCUGAAGCACCUUCCAGGGGAUUUAAACGAUGAGCCUUUUUCUGCCCUUCAUUUUUCUCUUUUUCUCCAUUUUUGGAAGCCAGACAUUGAAGGCUAUGACAUUCAAAACAACUGUAUAUACACUUGUUACAGAAGAUAUUAGAAAGUCACUGUGCGUGCCCAGGGACAGGCUUAGAAAAGACCCAAGAAGACUGUAAGCUUAUAUUUCAGGCUAAUCCUCAGCACAGAGACAGCCUAUAACAAUAAAAAACAAAAAGCUAGUAAACCCUGGGGAAGGAAAAUAAUCUGAUUUUCAGAAUUACCAGAUUAUUAGAUUCAAAAGUCUAGUUUUCAACAACAACAACAACAAAAACAAAAACACAAGAGAUACAAAGAAACAAGCAAAUAUGGCCCAUUCAAAGGAAAAAAUAAACCAACAGAAACUGUCCUUGAAAAGGAUCUGAUGGAGGAUCUAUUAGACAAAGACUUUAAAACAACUGUCUUAAAGUUACCCAAAGAACUAAAGGAAGAUGUGGAAAAUGUCAAGAAAAUGAUGUAUGAACAUAAUGGAAAUAUCAAUAAAGAGAGAGAAAACCUAAAAAGAAACCAAAAAGAAAUUGGUUUCCAGAAAUUUUCUGGAACUAAAAAGUACAAUAGCUGAAAGUUAAAAAAACUUGCUAGAGAGAUUCAAUGGCAGAUUUGAGCAAGCACAAGAAUCAACAAACUUGAAGAAAGGACAAGGAAAAUUAUUGAAUCUGAGGAAUAUAAAGAAAAAAAUUGAAGAAAACAGAGCCUAAAGGACCUGUAGGACAUCGUCAAACAGCCCCACACAGGCUUUAUGGGGAGUCCUUGAGGACAAGUAAGAGAAAGGGGCAAAGAGAUUAUUCAAAGAAAUUAUGACCAAAAACUUGCCAAAUUUAAUGAAAGACAUGAAUAUAAAUAUCCAAAAAGCUCAAUGAACUCCAAGUAGGAUAAAUUCAAAGACACACCAAAAGUAUUACCAUCAAACUAUUAAAAGCUGGAGACAGAAAAUUUUGAAAGCCGCAAGAGAGAAGUGAUCAUCACAUAUAAGGAAUCCUCAAUAAGAUUAUCUGCAGAUUUCUCAUCAGAAACUUCAGAGGCCAGAAAGCAGUAGGCUGAUAUAAAGUGCUAAAAGAAAGAAACUAUCAACUAAGAAUCCUAUAUCCAGCAAAUCUUCACUUCAAAAGCUGGAGGAUUCACACUUCUUUGUUUCAAAACUUACCACAAAGUUACAGCGAUCAAAACAGUGUGGUACUGGCACAAAGACAGACAUAUAGACCAAUGGAAUAGAACACAGUCCAGAAAAAAACCCUCUUAGCACAAGGGUGCUAAGAUUAUCCAAUGGGGAAAAGAUGAUCUUUUUGACAAAUGGUGCUGGGAAAAUUGCCACAUACAAAAGAAUACAGUUGGACCCUUACCUGAUACCAUUUACAUUAAAUUAAUGCAGACUAGAUCCAUAACCUAAUGUAAGAACUAAAACUAUAAAACUCAUAGGAGAAAGCAUAGGGCAAAAGUUCACAACAUUAGAAUGGGCAAUAAUUUCUUGGAUAUAACAUCACAAGUACAGGCAACAACAACAACAAAAGAACACAAAUUGGAUUGUAUUAC